AACGAACGCUGGCGGCAGGCUUAACACAUGCAAGUCGAACGCUCCGCAAGGAGAGUGGCAGACGGGUGAGUAACGCGUGGGAAUCUACCCAGAUCUACGGAACAACAGUUGGAAACGACUGCUAAUACCGUAUACGCCCCAAGGGGGAAAGAUUUAUCGGAAUUGGAUGAGCCCGCGUUGGAUUAGCUAGUUGGUGGGGU
Molecule: ribosomal RNA, 200 nt
Filed under: uncultured bacterium
Lineage: Bacteria
Description: partial 16S ribosomal RNA
Rfam family: Bacterial small subunit ribosomal RNA
Source: RNAcentral